RNAcentral lists this ribosomal RNA (448 nucleotides) under uncultured bacterium. Its description in RNAcentral is "SSU rRNA". It matches the Rfam family "Bacterial small subunit ribosomal RNA", at positions 26 to 518 of the family's 1533-position model. The record is from RNAcentral.
AGGAUGAACGCUGGCGGUCUGCUUAACACAUGCAAGUCGAACGGAGUAGCAAUACUUAGCGGCGGACGGGUGAGUAACGUGUGAGAAUCUACCUUCAGGACGGAGACAACAGUUGGAAACGACUGCUAACCCCCGAUGUACCGAAAGGGCAAAUAUUUAUAGCCUGAAGAAGAGCUCGCGUCCGAUUAGCUAGUUGGAGAGGUAAAAGCUCACCAAGGCGACGAUCGGUAGCUGGUCUGAGAGGACGAUCAGCCACACUGGGACUGAGACACGGCCCAGACUCCUACGGGAGGCAGCAGUGGGGAAUUUUCCGCAAUGGGCGAAAGCCUGACGGAGCAAGACCGCGUGGGGGAAGAAGGCUCUUGGGUUGUAAACCCCCUUUCAGCAGGGACGAGCGAAAGUGACGGUACUGCAGAAGAGCGCCGGCUAACUACGUGCCAGCAGCCGC